GAUGAAGAACGCAGCGAAAUGCGAUAAGUAAUGUGAAUUGCAGAAUUCAGUGAAUCAUCGAAUCUUUGAACGCACAUUGCGCCCGCCAGUAUUCUGGCUGGCAUGCCUGUCUGAGCGUCAUUUCAACCCUCAUGCCCCUAGGGCGUGGUGUUGGGGAUCGGCCAAAGCCCGCGAGGGACGGCCGGCCCCUAAAUCUAGUGGCGGACCCGUCGUGGCCUCCUCUGCGAAGUAGUGAUAUUCCGCAUCGGAGAGCGAUGAGCCCCUGCCGUUAAACCCCCAACUUUCCAAGGUUGACCUCAGAUCAGGUAGGAAUACCCGCUGAACUUAAGCAUAUCAAUAAGCGGAGGA
Molecule: unclassified non-coding RNA, 348 nt
Filed under: soil metagenome
Description: partial contains 5.8S ribosomal RNA, internal transcribed spacer 2, and large subunit ribosomal RNA
Rfam family: 5.8S ribosomal RNA (bases 1-120)
Source: RNAcentral